Triticum dicoccoides is the source of this 466-nucleotide long non-coding RNA. RefSeq lists it as uncharacterized. NCBI's taxonomy places the organism in Eukaryota, Viridiplantae, Streptophyta, Magnoliopsida, Poales, Poaceae. The record is from RefSeq and is a predicted model, not a curated record. The transcript has 3 exons.
GGUGCGACUCUUCUCAGUCUUUUACCGCGGCUCCGCCUCCUGGAUGGCGCUCCUGUGGGCAUGGGUGCGCGCGCGUGUCGGCUUCCUCCUCUCUAUCAUGCAUAUUCGUGUGGCCUCGACCAAAAUGUCGGUGUUGUGCUCUUGUAGAACAGCAUUAAGAGGAUGUGAUAUCAGCUAGCUUAAUUUUUUCCAAACUCCUGCAAUGAAAGGAUGUGGUCCUGUCAAAAUCAGAUACUAAUGGCAGUUUUGCGAGUGCAUGCAUGUUCUUGUCAUUUCAACUAAUCUGGCUGGCCAUGUUUCCAUAGAAAGGUUCAAGCUUCUCAGCCAUACAAUAGGUGUCAGACACCCAGACUUUAUGAGCAUGUGAUUUGUUCAGGCAAGCAACGACAGGCACAGCUGAAACACAUCCUACAAAUUUUGCUUCUCUCAAUUGCUCGUUUCUCCUGCGCCGCUCAGAGCAUCCCGA